GACGAACGCUGGCGGCGUGCUUAACACAUGCAAGUCGAACGGUAAGGCCCUUCGGGGUACACGAGUGGCGAACGGGUGAGUAACACGUGGGUGAUCUGCCCUGCACUUCGGGAUAAGCCUGGGAAACUGGGUCUAAUACCGGAUAGGACCACGCGCUUCACGGUGUGUGGUGGAAAGCUUUUGCGGUGUGGGAUGGGCCCGCGGCCUAUCAGCUUGUUGGUGGGGCAAUGGCCUACCAAGGCGACGACGGGUAGCCGGCCUGAGAGGGUGACCGGCCACACUGGGACUGAGAUACGGCCCAGACUCCUACGGGAGGCAGCAGUGGGGAAUAUUGCACAAUGGGCGCAAGCCUGAUGCAGCGACGCCGCGUGAGGGAUGACGGCCUUCGGGUUGUAAACCUCUUUCAGUAGGGACGAAGCGCAAGUGACGGUACCUACAGAAGAAGGACCGGCCAACUACGUGCCAGCCGCCGCAGUAA
This 478-nucleotide ribosomal RNA is filed under the name uncultured bacterium. Its description in RNAcentral is "partial 16S ribosomal RNA". It matches the Rfam family "Bacterial small subunit ribosomal RNA", at positions 28 to 523 of the family's 1533-position model. The record is from RNAcentral.